RNAcentral lists this ribosomal RNA (274 nucleotides) under uncultured bacterium. Its description in RNAcentral is "partial 16S ribosomal RNA". It matches the Rfam family "Bacterial small subunit ribosomal RNA", at positions 523 to 796 of the family's 1533-position model. The record is from RNAcentral.
AUACGGAGGGGGCUAGCGUUGUUCGGAAUUACUGGGCGUAAAGCGCGCGUAGGCGGGCUGGUCAGUCAGGGGUGAAAUCCCGGGGCUCAACCCCGGAACUGCCUUUGAUACUGCCAGUCUAGAGGUCGAGAGAGGUGAGUGGAAUUCCGAGUGUAGAGGUGAAAUUCGUAGAUAUUCGGAGGAACACCAGUGGCGAAGGCGGCUCACUGGCUCGAUUCUGACGCUGAGGUGCGAAAGCGUGGGGAGCAAACAGGAUUAGAAACCCCAGUAGUCC